Molecule: ribosomal RNA, 1758 nt
Filed under: Thermococcus sp. MZ9
Lineage: Archaea; Methanobacteriati; Methanobacteriota; Thermococci; Thermococcales; Thermococcaceae
Description: bacterial SSU rRNA
Rfam family: Archaeal small subunit ribosomal RNA (bases 1-1446)
Source: RNAcentral
CGACUAAGCCAUGCGAGUCAUGGGGCGCCUUGCGCGCACCGGCGGACGGCUCAGUAACACGUCGGUAACCUACCCUCGGGAGGGGGAUAACCCCGGGAAACUGGGGCUAAUCCCCCAUAGGCCUGAGGUACUGGAAGGUCCUCAGGCCGAAAGGGGCUCUGCCCGCCCGAGGAUGGGCCGGCGGCCGAUUAGGUAGUUGGUGGGGUAACGGCCCACCAAGCCGAAGAUCGGUACGGGCCAUGAGAGUGGGAGCCCGGAGAUGGACACUGAGACACGGGUCCAGGCCCUACGGGGCGCAGCAGGCGCGAAACCUCCGCAAUGCGGGCAACCGCGACGGGGGGACCCCCAGUGCCGUGGCAUCGCCACGGCUUUUCCGGAGUGUAAAGAGCUCCGGGAAUAAGGGCUGGGCAAGGCCGGUGGCAGCCGCCGCGGUAAUACCGGCGGCCCGAGUGGUGGCCGCUAUUAUUGGGCCUAAAGCGUCCGUAGCCGGGCCCGUAAGUCCCUGGCGAAAUCCCACGGCUCAACCGUGGGGCUUGCUGGGGAUACUGCGGGCCUUGGGACCGGGAGAGGCGGAGGGUACUCCUGGGGUAGGGGUGAAAUCCUAUAAUCCCAGGAGGACCGCCAGUGGCGAAGGCGCUCCGCUGGAACGGGUCCGACGGUGAGGGACGAAGGCCAGGGGAGCGAACCGGAUUAGAUACCCGGGUAGUCCUGGCUGUAAAGGAUGCGGGCUAGGUGUCGGGCGAGCUUCGUGCUCGCCCGGUGCCGAAGGGAAGCCGUUAAGCCCGCCGCCUGGGGAGUACGGCCGCAAGGCUGAAACUUAAAGGAAUUGGCGGGGGAGCACUACAAGGGGUGGAGCGUGCGGUUUAAUUGGAUUCAACGCCGGGAACCUCACCGGGGGCGACGGCAGGAUGAAGGCCAGGCUGAAGGUCUUGCCGGACACGCCGAGAGGAGGUGCAUGGCCGCCGUCAGCUCGUACCGUGAGGCGUCCACUUAAGUGUGGUAACGAGCGAGACCCGCGCCCCCAGUUGCCAGUCCUCCCCGCUGGGGAGGAGGCACUCUGGGGGGACCGCCGGCGAUAAGCCGGAGGAAGGAGCGGGCGACGGUAGGUCAGUAUGCCCCGAAACCCCCGGGCUACACGCGCGCUACAAUGAGCGGGACAAUGGGAUCCGACCCCGAAAGGGGAAGGUAAUCCCCUAAACCCGCUCCCAGUUCGGAUCGCGGGCUGCAACUCGCCCGCGUGAAGCUGGAAUCCCUAGUACCCGCGUGUCAUCAUCGCGCGGCGAAUACGUCCCUGCUCCUUGCACACACCGCCCGUCACUCCACCCGAGCGGGGUCUGGAUGAGGCCUGGUCUCCCUUCGGGGAGGCCGGGUCGAGUCUGGGCUCCGUGAGGGGGGAGAAGUCGUAACAAGGUAGCCGUAGGGGAACCUACGGCUCGAUCACCUCCUAGGGGAACCUACGGCUCGAUCACCUCCUAUCGCCGGAAAAUCCGUCCGGGGGGUUUAAGAGGUGUUGGGCCUGCCUUCCGUGGGCCGGUAGCUCAGCCUGGGAGAGCGUCGGCUUUGCAAGCCGAAGGCCCCGGGUUCGAAUCCCGGCCGGUCCACCACGAAGAGAUGCACAUCCCGAGCCCGGCUCGGGGUGGAAGGGUCCGAGAUCCCGAACAGGGAUCACGAUGAGGACCGUGCACAGGCCGAUUGACCCAAAAAAUGCCCAGCCCCCUGAGUAGGGGGCAGAAAACUUAAGCCGUCUGGUGGAUGGCU